UACGAAGGGUGCAAGCGUUGCUCGGAAUUAUUGGGCGUAAAGGGUAGGUAGGUGGUUACGUAUGUCUGGGGUGAAAUCCCUGAGCUUAACUCAGGAAGUGCCUUGGAAACGGCGUAACUAGAGUACUAGAGAGGUUCGUGGAAUUCCCGGUGUAGCGGUGAAAUGCGUAGAGAUCGGGAGGAACAUCAGAGGCGAAGGCGGCGAACUGGAUAGUAACUGACACUGAACUACGAAAGCGUGGGUAGCAAACAGG
Molecule: ribosomal RNA, 253 nt
Filed under: uncultured bacterium
Lineage: Bacteria
Description: partial 16S ribosomal RNA
Rfam family: Bacterial small subunit ribosomal RNA
Source: RNAcentral